AUGAACGAGGGGGAUGGAGCUAUGUUAUUAUCGAAUCGUUUUUUUUAUUCGCUUUAUUAUUAUCUCACCCACCCCGCCUCCCUCUCACUAACAGGUGGGCCCUCACUGACAGAGCCCUCUCCAGCGCCUCUCGCUCCCUCUCUCUCACGCGAGUCACCAACAGAAGAGCGGCGGCGGCGAGGUGCUGCCCCUCUCCUCUCUCUCUCCAUCUCUUCCCCUUGUGGCUGCUCUGCCCCGUCUCUCUCGGACGUCCUCAUGGGUGGCCGACGGCGGCGGGGCGGCGGAUGCCCUCUCUCCCUGCUCUGGUUCCCCCUCUCUCCCCUGAUCUGUUUUUCCUCUCUGGGCUGCAGCGCAAAAGAGGACAGGGACGAGCGGCAGGUCGGCGACCAGCAGCACCUCUCUCUUCUUCGUUGGUGGUUUGCCCCCCAGGUUGGAAGGAUGAGGAAGGGACUACAUCCUCAGAUGCAGUGGAUCUCAUACGUGACGCAGAGCGGCAGGCUGAUCAACAUCAUGAUGACCAAGGUGAACCACACCGGCAAAGUGUACCACAUGAGGGCGAAGCGGCAGAUGGCUCAGAGCCUGGGGCAGAUCGCCAAGUUCAAACGCCGAUACGAGCAGGACGCGCCGGAGGAGAACCAAGACAAGUAG
RNAcentral lists this ribosomal RNA (648 nucleotides) under Triticum aestivum (bread wheat). RNAcentral's name for it is "partial small subunit ribosomal RNA". Lineage: Eukaryota; Viridiplantae; Streptophyta; Magnoliopsida; Poales; Poaceae. The record is from RNAcentral.